This 694-nucleotide ribosomal RNA is filed under the name Clostridium perfringens. Its description in RNAcentral is "bacterial SSU rRNA". It matches the Rfam family "Bacterial small subunit ribosomal RNA", at positions 374 to 1086 of the family's 1533-position model. The record is from RNAcentral. Lineage: Bacteria; Bacillati; Bacillota; Clostridia; Eubacteriales; Clostridiaceae.
GGGGAAACCCUGAUGCAGCAACGCCGCGUGAGUGAUGAAGGUUUUCGGAUCGUAAAGCUCUGUCUUUGGGGAAGAUAAUGACGGUACCCAAGGAGGAAGCCACGGCUAACUACGUGCCAGCAGCCGCGGUAAUACGUAGGUGGCGAGCGUUAUCCGGAUUUACUGGGCGUAAAGGGAGCGUAGGCGGAUGAUUAAGUGGGAUGUGAAAUACCCGGGCUCAACUUGGGUACUGCAUUCCAAACUGGUUAUCUAGAGUGCAGGAGAGGAGAGUGGAAUUCCUAGUGUAGCGGUGAAAUGCGUAGAGAUUAGGAAGAACACCAGUGGCGAAGGCGACUCUCUGGACUGUAACUGACGCUGAGGCUCGAAAGCGUGGGGAGCAAACAGGAUUAGAUACCCUGGUAGUCCACGCUGUAAACGAUGAAUACUAGGUGUGGGGGUUUCAACACCUCCGUGCCGCCGCUAACGCAUUAAGUAUUCCGCCUGGGGAGUACGGUCGCAAGAUUAAAACUCAAAGGAAUUGACGGGGACCCGCACAAGUAGCGGAGCAUGUGGUUUAAUUCGAAGCAACGCGAAGAACCUUACCUACACUUGACAUCCCUUGCAUUACUCUUAAUCGAGGAAAUCCCUUCGGGGACAAGGUGACAGGUGGUGCAUGGUUGUCGUCAGCUCGUGUCGUGAGAUGUUGGGUUAAGUC